RNAcentral lists this non-coding RNA (26 nucleotides) under Homo sapiens (human). The record is from RNAcentral. Lineage: Eukaryota; Metazoa; Chordata; Mammalia; Primates; Hominidae.
UCCUUGAGGGUUUAUGGGGCAUAGCC